CUCACAACAUCUGAGGAUGCCUACUAUAGAUGUGGAUGGUCUGUUAGGUCUGUUGGAAACAUGCCUAGUUUCCAACAGACCUCACAACUUCUGAGGAUACUUGUCAUAGAUGUGGAUGGUCCUUUAGGUCUGUUGGAAACUUGCAGACCUCACAACAUCUGAGGAUACUUGUCAUAGAUGUGGAUGGUCCUUUAGGUCUGUUGGAAGCUUGCCUAGUUUCCAACACACCUCACAACUUCUGAGGAUGCCUGUCAUAGAUGUGGAUGGUCUGUUAGGUCUGUUGGAAACGUGCCUAGCUUCCAACAGACCUCACAACUUCUGAGGAUGCCUGUUAUAUAUGUAGGCAAAACAUCAGGAGAUAAUGCUUCUGGAACAUGGCCAGACAGGCCAGAAAACUCAUAGCAACCUAUUCAGGGAAGUCUUGUGAAGAGGAGUUAAUAUGGGAUGGUGGAAACAUUGAAUUCCAGUGUGAAACUAGCAACAAACUCUAUGGGGAGAGCAUGGAUUGCACUCGUUCUUCUUCCGUUGGUUUCGGGAACUCAGAACAUGCCAAAGACUGAACAUUUGCCUCUCUGCACGAGGAAGACAGCAAUUCAUACCUAUGGAAGGGGAGACGCCAAAGACACCCUUGCUUAGGUCAUGUGAUUCUGUUCUGGUUAUUUCUUGUUUCCUAUUUUGCUUUGUUUGGUGCUUCUGUCAAAAAAGAAAAACUCAACCGAUCCUACCAAGUGUUGUAAAAGUUGUACCGAAGUGUUGUUUCCAUCUUGUCCCGAUUUCCCCCGUCUUCUUCUUCUUCUUCUUCUUCCGGACCACUUAGCGACGGUAUAUUGCAAUAAAAAUUACGUAUUGUAUUUGCAGACCUCUCUUUCUGUGUAAUUUUAUCCCUCCCCGUUUCCCCCCCUUCUAAUAGGACUUGGAGGAGAGAACAAAGGCGGGAUGGCAACGUUUCAGAGGAAUCAGAAUAAUCAUAACCCCCUCCCCGAUGCACACACAUGCACACAAACGCGAGUCCCCUCUCCAUCCAUAUUCUCAUUGAAUGUGUCGGUGUCCCUGUGAGAUUUUAUUUUAUUUUUUUGGAAGAAGGAGAGAAAAAAAGAUUAAACCUGUGUAAUAAAGGCAUAAAUGUAAUAGAUCUUUUUCAAUAAAUCAAGUUUACCUAA
Anolis sagrei ordinatus is the source of this 1160-nucleotide non-coding RNA. The record is from RefSeq and is a predicted model, not a curated record. NCBI's taxonomy places the organism in Eukaryota, Metazoa, Chordata, Lepidosauria, Squamata, Anolidae.